RNAcentral lists this ribosomal RNA (459 nucleotides) under uncultured bacterium. RNAcentral describes it as "partial 16S ribosomal RNA". It matches the Rfam family "Bacterial small subunit ribosomal RNA", at positions 338 to 795 of the family's 1533-position model. The record is from RNAcentral.
CCUACGGGAGGCAGCAGUGAGGAAUAUUGGUCAAUGGCCGGAAGGCUGAACCAGCCAAGCCGCGUGAAGGACGAAGGUGCCAAGCAUUGUAAACUUCUUUUGUCAAGGGACAAAAUCAGGCUCGAGAGCCUGACCGAGGGUACUUGAAGAAAAAGCAUCGGCUAACUCCUUGCCAGCAGCCGCGGUAAUACGGGGGAUGCGAGCGUUAUCCGGAUUUAUUGGGUUUAAAGGGUGCGUAGGCGGACUGUUAGGUCAGCGGUAAAGGCCCGGGGCUCAACCCCGGCGAGCCGUUGAAACUGGCUGUCUUGAGAUGUCGAGAGGUAUGCGGAAUGCGCAGUGUAGCGGUGAAAUGCUUAGAUAUUGCGCAGAACUCCGAUUGCGAAGGCAGCAUACCGGCGGCGAUCUGACGCUGAGGCACGAAAGCGUGGGUAUCGAACAGGAUUAGAUACCCCAGUAGUC